ACUCCUACGGGAGGCAGCAGUGGGGAAUCUUAGACAAUGGGGGCAAGCCCUCGAUCUAGCCAUGCCGCGUGAGUGAUGAAGGCCCUAGGGUUGUAAAAGCUCUUUCAGCUGGGAAGAUAAUGACGGUACCAGCAGAAGAAGCCCCGGCUAACUCCGUGCCAGCAGCCGCGGUAAUACGGAGGGGGCUAGCGUUGUUCGGAAUUACUGGGCGUAAAGCGCACGUAGGCGGAUUGGAAAGUUAGAGGUGAAAUCCCA
RNAcentral lists this ribosomal RNA (255 nucleotides) under uncultured bacterium. RNAcentral's name for it is "partial 16S ribosomal RNA". It matches the Rfam family "Bacterial small subunit ribosomal RNA", at positions 335 to 604 of the family's 1533-position model. The record is from RNAcentral.